This 1288-nucleotide unclassified non-coding RNA is filed under the name uncultured Neocallimastigales. RNAcentral describes it as "partial contains small subunit ribosomal RNA, internal transcribed spacer 1, 5.8S ribosomal RNA, internal transcribed spacer 2, and large subunit ribosomal RNA". The stretch from base 582 to 1288 matches the Rfam family "Eukaryotic large subunit ribosomal RNA", at positions 1 to 629 of the family's 3401-position model. The record is from RNAcentral. Lineage: Eukaryota; Fungi; Neocallimastigomycota; Neocallimastigomycetes; Neocallimastigales.
UGAAGUAAAGUCGUAACAAGGUUCCGUAGGUGAACUGCGAAGAUCAUAAUAAUUUUUUUGAAAUAAAAAAAUAAUAUCAUCCUACCUUUGUGAAUUUGUUUGUUGAAUAUUUUUAAAUUAUUAUUGUCUAUCCAAGUUGGAAGUUGUAAAGACUUGAAGAUUGGAGCGGCAUAAAUAAUUUAAAGACUUUUCUAAAUUAAACUUUUGUAUUCAUUGUCUAAAAUAAUUUUAUAAUAUAUAAAAAACUUUGACAUGGAUCUCUUGUUCGCAACGAUGAAGAACGCAGCAAAUGCGAUAAGUAAUGUGAAUUGCAGAUACGUGAUCAUCGAAUUUCGAACGCAUAUGCACUUUUUAGUUUACUAAAAAGUAUGUCUGUUUGAGUAUCAGUAAAUAUUCUCAUAAAAUUUUUAAUUUUAUGGUUAUGAGUGUUUACAACGAUAACAAGUUGUUUCACUUUAAAUUGAAUUUUUGAAGAAAUUCUUUAAUUCAAAUUAAAUUUGGAUAAAAUUUCCCGUAAAAGGAAUAACUAUACAGUUAAUAAGAUUAGUGAUUUCUUUAUGAAAGGAAAUUAUUAAAUAACUUGAUCUCAAAUCAGAUAAAGUACCGCUGAACUUAAGCAUAUCAAUAGCGAGGAAAAGAACUAACAAGGAUUCCCUAGUAACGGCGAGUGAAGCGGAAGAGCUCAAUUGAAAUCUUAAAGGGUUCCUUUACGAUUGUAGUUUAAAGAAGUGUUUUCUGUUGAGUUUGGUAAAGUCUUUGGAUAGGACAUCAUAGAGGUGAGAUCCGUAUUGACCUUACUUCAACUUUGAUACACUUCAAAGGUCGAUUGUUUGGAAUGCAUCCAAAUGGUGGUAAUUUCAUCUAAAGCUAAUAUUGGCGAAGCGAUAGCGACAAGUACGUGAGGAAGAUGAAAAGAACUUGAAAGAGAGUUAAACAGUACGUGAAUGUCAAAGGAAGCGUUGACACAGUGUGUUUUCUGAAAUCAAUUAAGAACUGUUUAUGCUAAGUUGUUAGACUUUAUCAGCUAACUGUUUAGUUUUGAGCUUUCUUUAAUGCACUUUUCAGUUAACAAGUCAACAUCAAUUCUUUUGCUGUAAAAAGCUUGAGAAGUGCUGAGAUUCGUCUAAGUGUUUAUAGCCUCUGCCUAUGCAGUCGGAGAGAUUGAGGUCUGCAGCGUAGAUCUUCGGGCUAAAUGCAUUUGUGCUAAGUAUAGCAUUUAUAGACAACUUGUUGACAUGAUUGUCUGUAGCUUACUCGCUUAUGUUAUUUACUACGCUUAGGAUGUUGA